Molecule: long non-coding RNA, 1020 nt
Organism: Antechinus flavipes (yellow-footed antechinus)
Lineage: Eukaryota; Metazoa; Chordata; Mammalia; Dasyuromorphia; Dasyuridae
Exons: 6
Source: RefSeq, a predicted model, not a curated record
GGUUGGAUGGCUGGCAGUGAUAACUUUAGGGGUGACGAUUUUGGGGAGGGGCAAGAGGACAACAUUCCUAAUUAUUUGCAGUAUUCGGAGAAACGGUAAAAUCGAGGAGACUUUGAAUUUAGGCUUCCUUUAAGGGGUUGCAAGAAGGAGGCUGGAGAGAGACCGGAAAAAAAAAAAAAAAAACCACCUUCAGGGCGCGCGAGGACCCUUAAAAGCGAGAACUGGGGAUUGGGGAAUGGGUCAGAGCAUUUGAGAUGACGGAUAGUUAUCCGUUGACGUCCUUUAUUGGCGGGCCAGGAAACUACAAAUCCUAGAGUUCCAGACGGCCUAAAACCGCCAUCCGCGCGGGACCACGCAAUGCAUUGUAGGAGGUCGGGGGAGGAGCGUUCUCGACCGCGUGGAGGCAAAAAGCAAAGCGUGGCUUUGGCGGGCCCGCAUUCCAGCCCUGCGGUUUGGGGAGGGGAGCUGAAACUGGGGUCCUAGAAGAGGAAUAAUGACAAAAGCUGAUUAUUCAGGAUUGUCUUACAGGAACGAUCAGACUCAAAUGAAAACAUCAAGGCAUCUGGAUGGAUAUUCUGCUAACAUGUAUAUGUUCAUAAAUACUUGAAAGGAACCAGGACAAGUAUCUGAAUGUAUUUUUGAUCAAAGUCAAAGAUCUUGGUGGCUGUUGACUUAAUAGCUUCAGUUUGAGGGGCAUUGAACAUACAAGAUUGAGCAACUCUUAUCAUAUGCCUAAGGAUAUCGGGGAAUCCUUGCAUCUGCAUCACGAGACAUGUGUGGAUGGUGUUUGAAAAAGAACUAAGAAAACUGAAAACGCUUUUUAAUUCUGGAAAUGCCGAGACAUAAAAUUUUUGUGCAUUUAGAUUAGUUUUGAAUUGUGUUUUUGAUUACUAAAGCUAGUUUUGAUAAACUUGUUUAUGGCUUUGAAAUCAUGGGGAAUUUAUGUGUUAUACUUUACUGUGGCUACCUCAAUAAAAUAUAAUUUCCAAAAUAAACAAGUGAAUCAAACCUUUAAAAAAA